AGGAAAGAGUUAAAAAUGAGACUACAAAAACGCUGACUAAACUUCCCUGGUGCAAUAAUCUAAUGUAGGAAAGAAGAAAAAAAUGGAUUGAUAGAUAUUGUGUGUGUGUGUGUGUGUGUGUGUGUGUGUGUGUGUGUGUGUGUGUGUGUGUGUGUGUGUGUGUGUGUCGAAGCCCAGUGCUGCCAUUGUUCCUUCUUCCCUUCCCUUAAGGCAACCCUGACCCUAUUUUCCCUUACUGUUAGAGGAGCCCCCCUUAAACCUCACCCCCGGCAACCCUAACCCAAUUUUCUCUCAGUACUUCUUCCAUUAAACAAUUGUUCUUCUCUCUAUUAACAUCCCCUGACUUAAAACAAAAUCCUAACCCUUAUUUACUUAUCUCAAACAUAAGUAAAUGUAUAUGUUUUAAUUUUAAGGCUGUCAGGUUAUCUAUGAAGCACCCACAACAGUGAAACUCCCUCAGACUUAAACAAUUGUUCUCUCUAUUAACAUCCCCUGACUUAAAACAAAAUCCUAACCCUUAUUUACUUAUCUCAAGCAUAAGUAAAUGUAUAUGUUUUAAAUUUAAGGCAACCCCUCCAUCCCUCCCCCUUUUAACGAGAUGCUUUCAGGUUAUCUAUAAAGCAUCCACAACAGUGAAACUCCCUCAGACUUAAGUCCUUAUUCUGAGACGUAUCGGCCAGGCUCCCACCACGACUAUUCCCCAAAGCCACAUACAGAGGAUAUUAAGCAUUCAUGUUCUACGACAGCCUUGGCAAGUGUGGUUGUGUGUAAGCCCCGACUCGGUAAGAACAUGAGCCAAUGAUUAUGGAAACAGCACACGAGAAUAUAAAUAGGAAUAACUAUUGAUAAUAAUAAGAAGUAGAAUAAGGAUAAGAAUAAUGAAGCUCUCGGUAAUGCCUUAAUGCAGCAGGAGAAAGUAGGACCUAUUCAACUGAUCUCCUCCUCCUCCUCCUCCUCCUCCUCCUCUUCCUCUUCCCUUCGAGGCGAUAACAUCAAGCAGAACAGUGAAUGCAUAAGAAUGAGUAUGAUAUAUCAAGACAAGCGUUGGGUAAUAGCUUGCCUCAGAGGGGUUGAGUACAGUAAAGACACUUGCUGUUUCUUGACUUAUAAGUAUAGGAAAGAAAAGUAGAAAAGAAUACAAAUAACAGGGAUGAUGACAAUAAGAGUUCAUGGUGUGACUAGGCUACGGUAGGAGAGAAAACAGGAAAAAAGGACGGAUUUAAAUAAUGAUGACAAUAAAAGUUCUUGGUGUUAAUAGACUACGAUAGAAAGGUUCAUGGUGUUAAUAGACUACGAUAGAAAGGUUCAUGGUAUUAGUAGGCUACGAUAGAAAGGUUCAUGGUAUUAAUAGGCUACGAUAGAAAGGUUCAUGGUAUUAGUAGGCUACGAUAGAAAGGUUCAUGGUGUUAAUAGGCUACGAUAGAAAGGUUCAUGGUAUUAGUAGGCUACGAUAGAAAGGUUCAUGGUGUUAAUAGGCUACGAUAGAAAGGUUCAUGGUGUUAAUAGGCUACGAUAGAAAGGUUCAUGGUAUUAAUAGGCUACGAUAGAAAGGUUCAUGGUGUUAAUAGGCUACGAUAGAAAGGUUCAUGGUGUUAAUAGGCUACGAUAGAAAGGUUCAUGGUGUUAAUAGGCUACGAUAGAAAGGUUCAUGGUAUUAAUAGGCUACGAUAGAAAGGUUCAUGGUAUUAGUAGGCUACGAUAGAAAGGUUCAUGGUAUUAGUAGGCUACGAUAGAAAGGUUCAUGGUAUUAGUAGGCUACGAUAGAAAGGUUCAUGGUAUUAGUAGGCUACGAUAGAAAGGUUCAUGGUAUUAGUAGGCUACGAUAGAAAGGUUCAUGGUAUUAGUAGGCUACGAUAGAAAGGUUCAUGGUAUUAAUAGGCUACGAUAGAAAGGUUCAUGGUAUUAAUAGGCUACGAUAGAAAGGUUCAUGGUAUUAGUAGGCUACGAUAGAAAGGUUCAUGGUAUUAGUAGGCUACGAUAGAAAGGUUCAUGGUAUUAGUAGGCUACGAUAGAAAGGUUCAUGGUAUUAGUAGGCUACGAUAGAAAGGUACAAACGUGUUAAAAAAAGACAGAUUACAAAAACGCUGCCUAAACUUCCUCGGUCCUCGUUCUUCUUCUUCUUCUUCUUCUUAUUAUUAUUAUUAUUAUUAUUAUUAUUAUCAUUAUAUACCAAUACCAAUAGCAAUAUACUAAUACAAUACUAAUGCUCAUACCAAUACUAACACUAACACUAACAUUAACAAUAACAUCAAUAUUCAGGUUACAGAGGAUGCGUUCUGAGGCGCGGGGGCAGGAGCGACUCAUUAUGGUUCUGGCCGAUAACUGCCAUUACGUACACGACGACAGGCAGGUGACGUGGGAGCGAGGCAAGCAGCUGGGCCUUGAGGCUGAUCGGCCCUUCUUCGAGGUGUCGGCCGUGACGGGGACCAACGUGGAGGCUGUGCUCAAGGCUAUCACGAGUUCGAUGCUGGCAAAGGACUCCGCGGCGGCGCCCUCCACCUCCGCGGGCAGCACCAAAGCCAGCUGUUGCGUGCAGUGAGUGCCGAGGAAGAAGAGGAGGUGGAGGAGGAGGAGGAGGAGAAGGAAAGGGAAAUAAAAUUAUAGUUGGGUUAUUC
Molecule: RNA transcript, 2615 nt
Organism: Eriocheir sinensis (Chinese mitten crab)
Lineage: Eukaryota; Metazoa; Arthropoda; Malacostraca; Decapoda; Varunidae
Exons: 6
Source: RefSeq, a predicted model, not a curated record